GAUGAGACAAACAUGCUAAGCUAGAGUCACACGCCGCCUACCAUAGGAGGACCGUGGGCCCCUGUACAAGCUGCACGGGAUGUCAUACAUUGCUACACCCUCCCACUGGCCCUGUGGCCUGGGCAUCAGGCUGUGACUCACACGGACGGGUAACACACCGACACUCCAGUCUUUUGCUGAGCCCUCAUCUCCACACGCAGCUCCCAGACCACCCAAGGCCUGGAGCCUGCAGUGGAAUCUGCAGGACUUUGGUGGGGAAGGAAAAAAUCUGUAGCCUCGGGACCUCGUGCUCAGACAGCUGGGUUCUGUCCCCGACAGGGGUACUGAGCCAGCCUGCAUUUGGCCCUUUGCCCCAAGAGGCUGUACAAGCCCCCCAGUUGUCUGCUCAAAGGUGGGCUGGUGGCUUAUUCUACCCACCCACCUUGGGGGGCCUCUUUGGCCCCAAGGGGAGGAGGAGGCUGGCCCAAGCCCUCUCUGUCCCCUGGGGCCAGGGCCCACCCCCAGCAGGCUCCAUCCUGCCAGCCUCCCUCCCCUGCACCUAGUGCUUAAACUUUUCCUUGAAAGGGCAGAGCCAGCCCCUCUCCUGAAUCCCAGAAUCUGACAUUCCAAGACUCAACCUAGGCCUGCUUCCCACUAUGGGAACUGCGGCCAAGGGGAGAGACCCAUGCCAGCCCCGAGACUCCCGGGCCCCGGGGCCAGCAUCUGAGCUGGUACAGGCUCCUGGGGCCUCUGUCAACCCAUCUGUCACCCCUCCCCCCAACACCCAGAUGUCCCGCCUUGGCGGUGCUGUCCCUGACUGUCACAUUAUUGCUCCGGAACCCGCCAGCUGGGCCCUGGGGCCGCCGGGGCUCCUCCGGAGCCCUGGACAAAGGCGGGGAAGGAGGGGCAAGGCCGCCUGACAGCCCGUCCCUCCCCGCCUCAGGAGGCAGACAUGCCCGAUGAAGUCAACAUCGAUGAACUGCUGGAAUUAGAGAGUGAAGAGGAGAGAAGCCGGAAAAUUCAGGGACUCCUAAAGUCAUGCACGAACCCCACAGAGGUGAGCCCCAUUCUGCCCCCUGAUGGGGGGAGGGGGAGAGGUCUCUGGGGAGGAGGGAAGAAGCUGGCCCACGGCAGGCAGAGGGACGUCUGGGAGCCCUGCCUGUCACAGCCCUGUCCUCCCCUCCAGCGGUGUCUUUUGUCUUCCUCAUUCCUGUCCCCUCUCCCCCAUCUGCCACUGGGCUCCAUUAUCUCCUCUCCGCUGAGACCCCCCCAUCUGUCUCCCAUUUCUGCCUCUGCAGGGCUCUGUCUGCCGUCCCCUCUCCCCUGUUGCUACCUCUACCGCCCUGGGGCUCCCUUCCCCACCUCUGGGGGGGCCCCCCAUCCUUCCAGGCCCUGAAGCUGAGUGGCCCAACCCCUCCCACUUCCUUCCCUGCUUUAAAAGGGAAAAAUAUUCAUGUUUCUCUCACCAGCUCUGGGCUGCGUGGGGGACAAACGUCACCGGCUCAGGCCUCCGUCCCUGGGGACCCUCCUGGUGAUCUCUUGGCCUGAGAAAUAUCUCAGUGGCUCUCUGGCUCUGGUUCUUUGUCCCUUCGUCUUUCCCUCUGUCUCUAUCUCUGCAUCUGUUUCUUUCAGUCUCAGCUCCAAGUCUCCGUCUGUGUCUUUCUCUCCCCCCUCACGUUUCUCUGUCUUUGCAUCCAUGUCUCUCUCUCUCUUUUUUUUUUUUUUUGCUUUUCAGGGCUGCACCCGUGGCAUAUGGGGGUUCCCAGGCCAGGGGUCUAAUCAGAGUUCCAGCUGCCAGCCUACACCACAG
RNAcentral lists this long non-coding RNA (1789 nucleotides) under Sus scrofa (pig). RNAcentral describes it as "lncRNA (ENSSSCG00005045727.1)". Lineage: Eukaryota; Metazoa; Chordata; Mammalia; Artiodactyla; Suidae. The record is from RNAcentral.